Long non-coding RNA from Camelus dromedarius (Arabian camel), 2866 nucleotides. RefSeq lists it as uncharacterized. Lineage: Eukaryota; Metazoa; Chordata; Mammalia; Artiodactyla; Camelidae. The transcript is spliced from 4 exons. The record is from RefSeq and is a predicted model, not a curated record.
UACCUUUUUUUAAUUAGUAAAUGUUAUUUGUUUAUGGAAAUGUAGGUAUUUUAGCAUAGAGAUGGGAUAACUCCUCCCUAAAUAUUUGUUGUUUGGGCUGGCAGUGUUUACAGAUUGUUAGAAAUAAAUUACCUACUAUAAUUGGAGUCUCCAGUUAUAGAGUUGAAGGACUGAUAUCAUCUAUUCUCUCCUCUGAAUGGUAAGGUUCUUCUUAGUUCAGCAGACAUUAAAACUUUUUUCUGAUGAGGUGCUCCACUAAUGCACACUGUUUCCAAAUUAGAGUUGGCCAGUGAAGAUUAUUCUGAUAGCUUAAAAAAAAAAACUUGCAUUGGUGGUAGAGCAAUUAGCAUGGAUUUUAUGAUGUGUUGGUAAGAGAAAUAUCACUUGAAAUUCCAUAGAAAUAUAUUGUGAAUCAUUUCCAAAAAAAGACUUCUCUUGAAAAGAUGAGUUGUUUUGAAACACCUAAUGUAGAAAAAGUACUGAAUAGAUUGCAACUCUAUGAAACAAAAGGACAGACAUACUUAAGAUUCCAUCCUAAAAUAUUUAUCCUUUCCAUGGUGGUAAAUGCCUACUAAACCAAUUAAGAGGAGUAUUAUUUCACUCUAGCAGUGGGAGUAAAACUUAAGCUCACCUUCCUUUAGAAAUUUCCAGAUCCCAAGAAGAGCAGAGAAAUUAGCUAGGUUUGUUUCUGCUUCUAAUGUUGUUAUCUGAACUUUAAAAUAUUGUUCUGUCAUUGAAAUUUAGAGACAGUUAAGCAAUGAGGGGGAGAAGUGAUAUUAGAAAAAGUAAGAAAAAACUUUUGGAGCUUUUGAGAUCGUCCUUCCAUGGAACUAAACAUGAACUAAAAUUUUAAUAAACGUCAUUGACUUAUCUCUGAUACUGAAGAAAAAAUUCAGAACGCUUCAAGUGGACCAAAAGCUUGCUACAGUAUAGGGAUAUUCCGUCUUAAUGUUUCUUUUUACGUGUUUGGAUUUAUAAAUUUGGUCUCUAACAUGCUUCUCAAACAAGCAUUUUCUAAGCUCAUCUUCCUACAGUAGAGCCUCUUGUGUAACUCUCCUUGUGUUUUUAAAUAAUGUGUAAUGUAAGCUCCAUGGUGACUUUAAAAUAUACUUCCCACUUAGCAUAGGACUAUUUGCUUUUAUCACAUUAUUUAUGGAGAUGACUGGUUGUUGUAGAGUCUCUCUGAGGAACCUACUGCCUCUCUUCCCCACCCCGCUCUGACACAAAAGGCGGGGGAGGGGAGAGUAGAAAAUGCCUUCAGAAUACUGCCUCGUUUAAUGAUAUCUUAAGCACCAGGUGUUGAUUUAUGAGUAAAGAGACAUGCUACGAAAGGAACCAGGCUUGGAGUGUACCACUGGGUAGCUAAGCAUCGUCUAAGAUGUGUGUAAGAACAGCACAGUUAAGCCAUUGCAUUCCAUAGUUUUAAGCUUUGACCUCCAAUCAAUUAUGCAACAGAUAGAACAUAUCAGGUCAGUCUUUCCUACUUGUCAGAAAGAAUACGGUUCUAAUUCCAGAACAAUCUCUCUUUUAAGGGCUCAGGUAGGGUGGGUGAGUUAAAUGGAAAUUCAUACUUACACUUAAAUUUUGAGGUUGGUGUCACCAAAUUAACAAGCUUCAUUAAAAUAAGAUAGUGAGAGAGUGGCUCAUCUCACAGAAUAAUUUUUUGCCUUAUUUAAGAUUCAUUAUUUGAUUUAAUUGUCAUUAUUUGAUUUUGGAGCUAAUACUCUCACUCUGGGUUUGUUAAGGUUUUUGCAUCCAUCUCCAGGUGGGGCAGCCAGGGCAAUGAAUUUAGGUUAUAAGUCAUAUGCAUUCCACACAACAAAUGGAGUAAGUUUUAAACGGGUUGUAAGUUUUUUGGAGGGGAGAUGAAUUCUUUGGACACCACUGCAUAUCAAAUUAGGAACAAGCUCCAUCAAUGGAAUUGCUUCCAUGCCUUUGUCUUGUGCCUUACCUAUGGGGAAAAAAAUAACUUCAGCACUUAAAUAACCGAACCAUUCAUUCUAUUUUUAUUUUUCACUUUUCUGUAAAUGCUACAUUAGAUGUAAAAAGGUCUUUAAAAGAUUAUUUUAAAGUCAGUCUACCAACUCUUAAGUAUUCCUUUAAAAAAAAAUCCAUAGUAGUAUUGAUAAAUAGGGGUCAAGUAAAUGUAAAUGAUGCAGGACAGAGAUUUGGUUUUUUUUUUUUUUUAAUUCAAGUGACAUUUGAAAACUUUUCAAAACACCUAUAUAACACCUGGUGUGGCAAAACUCUGGAAAAGUGUUUUUUAAAGACGGUAUCUUUGGAGAAUGCCUAAGUGUGUGGGGGACGGGGAUAAUCUAUAUCUGAAUAUCUUUAUAAAGUGAAUUCUUAAAAUUUGCAAAGCUAUUUACCACUGAAUAUGCUGCCAUUUAUAUAACCUCUCUCCUUUCAGCAUGCUAGAAAGCAAAGAGAAUGGAAAUAAGGUAGCCAGAAGGAAAGAAAGCACGAAGAUAAUGAAGCAGUAACACCUACUGAUACACCAUGGAACCACUGCUCCUUCCAACACACUUUGGAAAUGUUAAUCCAAUUCAAUGAGCACAUCUUAAAGAUGAGGAAACGAAGGCCCAGAGAAGGUAAUAAAAUGGGAAACUGUUAAACACACAUCCAUCUUCUGAACUGUGUUAUCCUAAGUCCAGGAGGAACCUUUCAAAACAGGAGUUCAGUCAGUCACAAACCUUGCUCUGUACAGACUCUCCUCAGCCCCAGAACCAGUGUUUCAGGGUGAAUCUUUCCCCAGGGCCAGAAGGAGAAGGGAAAUGACAACUCACCAGGAGAAACAGAGGGCUGACAGCUACCCAGCAGAUCCUCCAAAACCAUCCAGGGCUGAAGCCGAGCAUUUCCUUCACAU